UACGGAGGGGGCUAGCGUUGUUCGGAAUUACUGGGCGUAAAGCGCACGUAGGCGGCGAUUUAAGUCAGAGGUGAAAGCCCGGGGCUCAACCCCGGAACUGCCUUUGAGACUGGAUUGCUUGAAUCCGGGAGAGGUGAGUGGAAUUCCGAGUGUAGAGGUGAAAUUCGUAGAUAUUCGGAAGAACACCAGUGGCGAAGGCGGCUCACUGGACCGGCAUUGACGCUGAGGUGCGAAAGCGUGGGGAGCAAACAGGAUUAGAAACCCCCGUAGUCC
RNAcentral lists this ribosomal RNA (273 nucleotides) under uncultured bacterium. Its description in RNAcentral is "partial 16S ribosomal RNA". It matches the Rfam family "Bacterial small subunit ribosomal RNA", at positions 524 to 796 of the family's 1533-position model. The record is from RNAcentral.